UUUCUUUCUUCAAUUUAAUUGAAGUUACUUAGAAAAAUAAUCAGGCUUGAAUGGCUUUUUUAAGGAAAGAUUCAUGAGCAGUUCACACUUGUGUUGGCAAUGUAUAAUUUAGCUUUUUUUCUUUAUUAACAGUAUAUUUAGGUAUGAGGAGAUACUUUUCUACAACAAGCCUUCUACUGCAUACAAAUAGGUUAAAAAAAAAAAAAAUCCAACCCCACAUCGAUGUUAAAUUAUUCGUACACAUUGUAUUGUGCAUGCAUGUAAGAAAAUAACACUCUCUGUAACAAGAGUAAUAGUAAGGACAGUCCCUUUUUGUACCUGAAAAGUGCAGCAGACUACAGUGAAACCCUAAAACACCUGGGGUCAACUUAAUUCUAAAAGCAGUUCUGCUUGUGGAUUAUUUAUUUCACUUGUCUUACACAGCGCAUGGUUCAGGCAGUUUGCACGUUUCUGUGAUCAUAAUGGACAUGGUUUACGAAGAGGAUAAAGCAUGGACCAAGUCAGGUGUGGGGGGACCUCGUACUGCCCAGGAGUCACCACCAUGUUCAGAUGAGCCAAAUCCAGCCUGGGCUCCAGGUUAAGGUGCUUAGGGCCAUCUGUGGGGGAAAGAACCCUCAACUUGUGGGUAUUGUGCUGGGUAAGGAGCCAUAGGCACUGCUGGGGUGACAGGGAGCCACUGGCUGCUCAGAGAUGGCGAUUGCUGCUCCUCCAGGCCAGAGGCUUUGAGGGGGCUGGGGACCAAAGUGGGGAGCAGGACCUUCCCCAGUAGGUGCUCCACCAUAACGAAUGCACAUCCCCCUAACACGGCAGCUCCCCGGGCGGCCCUCACAGUCCCACAGUCCCAUCUGUACUUCACAUUUUGCGGUGGCUGCAGUUUUUGCCUGUUUGUCUCCUGGGACCAGCUGUGGCCAGAGCAGAAAUGAACUUGGGAGGGAGGCAGAGCCUGGGAGCAGACCAGCCCCUCUUGUCCUCCAGCUGAGAAACCCAGGGAAGAGGUCAGGGUAAAAUCAACCUGGAUCCCCGGCUGCCCCUGCACUGCAGGUGGUGGCUGCCAGCUUACUGAGAUAAGGAAGAUCGACCUUGAACAUCCUCCUGUGUGGCUGCAGUGGAAAGAGAGAUUUUUCUGGCUCAGUCAAAACAACACACCCAGCAGACCAAAGAAAAGGCUAUUCC
RNAcentral lists this long non-coding RNA (1173 nucleotides) under Strigops habroptila (Kakapo). Its description in RNAcentral is "lncRNA (ENSSHBG00005015622.1)". Lineage: Eukaryota; Metazoa; Chordata; Aves; Psittaciformes; Psittacidae. The record is from RNAcentral.